CACGUAGGAGGCAAACGUUAUCCGGAUUUACUGGGCGUAAAGCGCGUGUAGGUGGUUCUGUAAGUAGGGCGUGAAAGCUCCCGGCUCAACUGGGAGAGGCCGUUCUAAACUGCAGAGCUAGAGGAUGGUAGAGGGAGGUGGAAUUCCAGGUGUAGCGGUGGAAUGCGCAGAUAUCUGGAGGAACACCAGUGGCGAAGGCGGCCUCCUGGACCAUUCCUGACACUCAGACGCGAAAGCUAGGGUAGCAAACGGGAUUAGAUACCCGGGGUAGUCCCU
This 276-nucleotide ribosomal RNA is filed under the name uncultured prokaryote. Its description in RNAcentral is "partial 16S ribosomal RNA". It matches the Rfam family "Bacterial small subunit ribosomal RNA", at positions 524 to 798 of the family's 1533-position model. The record is from RNAcentral.